GCGGUACCGGUUCCCGCCUGCGAGGCGACCCGGCGACU
Molecule: non-coding RNA, 38 nt
Filed under: unclassified sequences
Description: L31-Actinobacteria ribosomal protein leader
Rfam family: L31-Actinobacteria ribosomal protein leader
Source: RNAcentral